AAGAGGGAAAAGAAGCCAUAACCAUUGUAUCUCGCAUGUAUGAAAUGAAAUGCAUCAAACCCAGUUCAGUUUCUGCCUUUUAAAAUACUGAAGGUGAAAAACAGGGAAGCUGUGAAUAAUGUGGUUGAUAUCCUCAUAGAGUGACCUCACUUUAUUAGUAUUUCUGUCCUGUUCCAUCUUCUCCACCAAGCCAGUGAUUCCAAUAGGAUCUAGUGAAUCCUGGAUUCCUCAGGAAAAUUUUGGCAGUCUGCCCAACAAAAGUUCCAGACUUGG
RNAcentral lists this long non-coding RNA (273 nucleotides) under Struthio camelus australis. RNAcentral describes it as "lncRNA (ENSSCUG00000010718.1)". Lineage: Eukaryota; Metazoa; Chordata; Aves; Struthioniformes; Struthionidae. The record is from RNAcentral.